UUGUUUGUGCGAAACGCGCUCCUGGGCUUAGGUGUCCGGGACGCGGGUCGUGCGAGGUCACUUUGAGUAAAUUAGAGUGUUUAAAGCAGGCGUGCGCUUUGCAUAUUUCAGCAUGGGAUGACACGAUAGGACUCCGUGUCCGUGCGUCGGUCUGCGGUGCGGGGUAAUGAUCGAUAGAGACGAUCGGGGGCGUUCCUAUUUCGUUGUCGGAGGUGAAAUUCUUGGAUUUACGAAAGAGGAUCAACUGCGAAAGCAUUCGCCAAGGGCGCUCUCGUUGAUCAAGAACGAAAGGUGGGGGAUCGAAGAUGAUUAGAUACCAUCCUAGUCUCAACCAUAAACUAUGCCAAUAGGGGAUCGGCGGGCGUCUUUACGUGUCCUCGUCGGCACCCUGUGUGAAAUCAUAAAUGUGAGGGCUCCGGGGGUAGUAUGGUCGCAAGGCUGAAACUUAAAGGAAUAGACGGAAGGGCACCACCAGGCGUGGAGCCUGCGGCUUAAUUUGACUCAACGCGGGGAAACUUACUAGGUCAGGACAUAGGAAGGAUUGACAGAUUGAUAGCUCUUUCUUGAUUCUAUGGGUGGUGGUGCAUGGCCAUUCUUAGUUCGUGGGUUAUCUUGUCUGGUUGACUCCGUUAACGAACGAGACCUCAGCCUGCUAAAUAGCGGCCUUCUCGCUUAGAGGAGUGCCCGCUUCUUAGAGGGACAGUCGGCGCAAGUCGACGGAAGUUUGAGGCAAUAAUAGGUCUGUGAUGCCCUUAGAUGUUCUAGGCCGCACGCGGGCUACACUGACGCGCUCUGCAAGCGUCCUCGGCCGAGAGGCUUGGGGAAUCUGUGCACACGCGUCGUGAUGGGGCUAGAAUGUUGGAAUUGUUAUUCUUUAACGAGGAAUGCCU
RNAcentral lists this ribosomal RNA (890 nucleotides) under uncultured eukaryote. Its description in RNAcentral is "SSU rRNA". It matches the Rfam family "Eukaryotic small subunit ribosomal RNA", at positions 695 to 1615 of the family's 1831-position model. The record is from RNAcentral.